RNAcentral lists this transfer RNA (63 nucleotides) under Apocrypta bakeri. Its description in RNAcentral is "tRNA-His". Lineage: Eukaryota; Metazoa; Arthropoda; Insecta; Hymenoptera; Pteromalidae. The record is from RNAcentral.
AUUUAAAUAGUUUAAAUAAAAUAUUGAUUUGUGAAAUCAAAGUUGGAUUUAAUCCUUUAGAUA